Molecule: ribosomal RNA, 484 nt
Filed under: uncultured bacterium
Lineage: Bacteria
Description: partial 16S ribosomal RNA
Rfam family: Bacterial small subunit ribosomal RNA
Source: RNAcentral
AUUGAACGCUGGCGGCAGGCCUAACACAUGCAAGUCGAGCGGAUGAAGGGAGCUUGCUCCUGGAUUCAGCGGCGGACGGGUGAGUAAUGCCUAUGAAUCUGCCUGGUAGUGGGGGAUAACGUCCUGAAACGGGCGCUAAUACCGCAUACGUCCUGCGGGAGCAAGUGGGGGAUCUUCGGACCUCACGCUAUCAGAUGAGCCUAGGUCGGAUUAGCUAGUUGGUGGGGUAAAGGCCUACCAAGGCGACGAUCCGUAACUGGUCUGAGAGGAGGAUCAGUCACACUGGAACUGGGACACGGUCCAGACGCCUACGGGAGGGAGCAGUGGGGAAUAGUGGACAAUGGGCGAAAGCCUGAUCCAGCCCUGCCGCGUGUGUGAAGAAGGUCUUCGGAUUGUAAAGCACUUUAAGUUGGGGGGAAGGGCAGUAAGUUGAUACCUUGCUGUUUUGACGGUACCAACAGAAUAAGCACCGGCUAACUUCGUG